UUAUUAGGAUUCUUACGUGAUCGAAGCGGGUUCUACUUCGAAAAUGCUAACAACGAAGGAUCACUUCAAAGCUGCCGGUGUCCAUGUUUCUGUUAAACGGCAGUAGGUUUCUGGAACAAUCUCUGCCACAUGUCGCCCACGUACUUAGUCAUGUCGUCUUCAUGCUACGACCGAUCAGAUCGACUUUAUAUGCCCCNNNNN
RNAcentral lists this long non-coding RNA (201 nucleotides) under Elaeis guineensis (African oil palm). RNAcentral's name for it is "long non-coding RNA (EGUI_LNC032599)". Lineage: Eukaryota; Viridiplantae; Streptophyta; Magnoliopsida; Arecales; Arecaceae. The record is from RNAcentral.